RNAcentral lists this long non-coding RNA (232 nucleotides) under Lathyrus oleraceus (garden pea). Its description in RNAcentral is "Pisum sativum (pea) long non-coding RNA (PSAT_LNC037572)". The record is from RNAcentral. Lineage: Eukaryota; Viridiplantae; Streptophyta; Magnoliopsida; Fabales; Fabaceae.
UUGAUUCAAAGAAGUAUUAUGAAAUGGAGUUUGAAAAAGAGUCAAGGACUUGGGUCCAGGUUUCUAGUUUGAAAACAUGAAGAUGUUUGCACAACACUUAUGUUAAGUUUGAAAUCAAAGUGUGGAAAAGGUUUAGGACACAAUGAGAGAUGAAUGGAUGAAGAUGGAAAUAAAACUUCUCAGUAGGUUCACCUCUUGAAAUCAUAUGGAGGAUGAUUCAAGGGUGUCCUUU